GACCCGGUUCCUGAUUUCGGACUACAAGGAAAAGAAGGCUCUUCUCGGGAAAAAGGGGGCUUUCGGAUGAAGAAGGUACUGUGGCAAGCCCUUGCCAAUGCAAUAAACAAACGCAAUGAUUGCAAUGUGAGCCCAAUUCAGGCCGAAAAUAAAUGGAAGAGUUUAGAAAGGGCAUACAAACGAGCAAAGACGAAGAACAACUCCUCAGGCCAUUCGUGCGUCAAUUGCAGCCAUGAAGAGGAGCUAGGUGAGGUACUGGAGCAUGAGCAUCACAUUGCACCCCCAUUCCUUUUAGCCCCAGGAGAAGUAAUACAGGCUGAAGAUUUAUGGUAAGACUGCCUGAGCUUAAUUAUGGAGCAGUUCCAAAAAGUUUUUUCAACCUAAAAUGCUUGUUCCAGUACACCUCCAGACACAGAGGCCAGUUGCAACAACGAGGCAGGGCCAUCGCAACAGCCCCAGGAUGAUGUACGCCACAAGCGGCGCCGCAGGGACACUUCCAUCAACACCCUCCUGGAUGUUUUCCAGGAGGCCAAAAAGGAUCGGGCCGAGCGCUUUGAAAAAAAGAUGGCUUUGCUGGAGCGGCUUGUUACAGCAGUUGAGGCUAAAGCUACCCAGGUCGAAUAAAUUGCCAAAAACAUUGAUUGUCAUGUUGCUUUCUCACCGGUCACUGAUAUAAGAUGAUCAAAACAUGUUUUACUACAAGCAUAUGUUUGGCAGUGGUUCUCAAGCCUCAUUUAACGCAUGUGCUAUAACGAUGUGUCUUGCAACACAUCCUGCGUCAGCCCCCAUUUCGGCUAUGUAGUAAAUCACACACAGCACCCCAACAUGCAUUAACCAUUUAUCAACUUUCUCUAUUGGGUCAAUUGCUAAUGGCAUUAACUUUCAGCAACAUUCAAAU
Non-coding RNA from Dermacentor andersoni, 898 nucleotides. NCBI's taxonomy places the organism in Eukaryota, Metazoa, Arthropoda, Arachnida, Ixodida, Ixodidae. The record is from RefSeq and is a predicted model, not a curated record.